GGAGAGGUGGCCGAGCGGUCUAAGGCACAUGUCUCGAAAACAUGAAGGGCAAAAAAGCCCUCGUGGGUUCGAAUCCCACCCUCUCCGCCA
Molecule: transfer RNA, 90 nt
Filed under: Bacteroidia bacterium
Lineage: Bacteria; Pseudomonadati; Bacteroidota; Bacteroidia
Also listed under: 1 other name
Description: tRNA-Ser
Rfam family: tRNA
About the family: Transfer RNA (tRNA) molecules are approximately 80 nucleotides in length. Their secondary structure includes four short double-helical elements and three loops (D, anti-codon, and T loops).
Source: RNAcentral